Molecule: long non-coding RNA, 7695 nt
Organism: Mercenaria mercenaria
Lineage: Eukaryota; Metazoa; Mollusca; Bivalvia; Venerida; Veneridae
Exons: 5
Source: RefSeq, a predicted model, not a curated record
AGAAAUCUGCCCGAAGAGCGAAUCACGUGACAUUUGUGUUGUGUGUGAACUCGUUUUCACUCUCAGUCAGUCGUAGGCAGUCGUUGGCGGACAAAGGAGGACAAAGAACGAACACAGGAAGGAAGCUUGGGAGCAGAGAGACUGUAUUCCCAUGGAAAUGUGAAAUCAUGCCAGACCUUUAGUAGGGACAGUGAGUGAGCCAAACAGGGUGCAAGUCCUUCUGUAUGUUCCCUGCCUUCAAUCUUCUAGACCUCUACUGCUGGUGUCUUCUGUUCUUUUGGUGCAGACAGUGUUUGGAGAGACUGGCAAAAAUGACAUGAAUAAAACUAUAACAACAACAAUUAAGCAACAUCAGAUCAGCUAAUUCAGAUGCUAAACUACCAGUAGUUGCUGGAAAUGUGAGACAGAGUUGGCAUUGAAUGAAUAACUUUCAGCUGGAUCUUGUCUGGAACUUUCUGGAGUUCAUUUGAACCACAUCUGUACAGUCAAUACUAUAAUUCAGAUCUGUCGUAGGGUUCAUGGAGGUCAUAGCCAACAUAAUACAGAUGCCCCUGUUCCAAGAUUCAUUCCUGCAAACCAAGACCAAACUGAUGGAUAAAGUAUCGGCUAAUUCAUUUGUGUCCCUUGCUUGAAGCUGCUUCCCAUGGAACUUUUUCACGAAGUCAUUGACUGUCAAAGUGGCAUGAAGACGGAAUGCACUGAUCAGACCAAGUUUCUCGCUGUUUCCUGGCAGCCAAUGGAAGAGUCGAGAAUACCAGUGCAAGUCAAGUGUUGAAUUUUCCACAAAAUAGCGAGUCAAGUGUUGAAUUUUCCACAAAGUAGCACAGAUUCCGAGCAUUGUUUCUCUCUGGUCAGAAAAAAAAAAUCAGAGAAAUGACUUAUCAAUGAUAUAUUGCUGUCUGUUAGUAAUGAUUGAUCGCAGACUAAAUGCUACCAUGGGUCUACUGGCAAGCUGGAAAGAUACAAAGAUAAAGAUGAUUUAUUAAACUUACUGAACAUGACAUCAGAGAAUAUUCAGUUGUGAAAGUGAAAUAGGCAUUAAUCUGGCAUAAAAGGAUAAAAUUGCUUAAAUUUAUUAGAUUUAUCACUUUUUGUAUCAUAAUUUGGAAUUUUCAUUUAUAUAAUAAUAUUACAUUAUCUUACAAUAUUUUACAUUAUCUUACAUUAUUAUUGAAAUUAUAAAAUUUAGUUCUAUAUAAAUGCAAUCAAAACUUAAUAAAAUAAGAAAAAGAAAAAACUUAGUCGGACAAAUGGUAAGAGCUCUUAGAGAUGAAAUAAUGAGAGAAAAAAUAAAAAAGGCUGCCAACAGAGAAAUGUAUAGUGAAAUUUAUAAACCAAUUAUAGAAGGAAUAGAAAGUCAAAAAGAAAAAUUGUCAAGAGAAUUAAAACGUUUACCUGCAAUAAAACAACAAUUAGAAUCACUCAGUGAUGAAAUAAAUGACAUACAAACAUAUCAAGGCUUACCUCAGCUAUUCCAAGAACCGCAACCAAUUACAUGGUCUCCUGAAGAACUGGCGAGGAAAUAUAAAAAUACAGGGAAAUAAGCAAAGAACCUACUGAAGAAGAAAUUAAAAAAGUACUGGAAGAUUAUAAAAGAGAAAAAAUGAGGAUAACAGAAAAACCGUUACCACCAGAGAAUAUAAUGACAAAAGAAGAGAUUAGUAAAUUAUCAAAAGAAGAUAUUAAUAAAUUAGAAGAAAACUAUAUACCAAUAUAUAAUGAAGAAGGAUCUAUUAGAUUAUUAUCUAAAGAAGAGGUGAAAAAACUAGGAGUUAAAGAAUUUCCUGAAGAAUUAGAAGAAUUGGGAGCAAGACCAAAAGAAUUUAAAGUUGAUUUUAAUCAAGGAAUUGAUUUAGAUCUUAUAGAUGAAAAAUAUAAAACACCAAUAGAAGUGUUUGACUUGUUUCACAGCAAAUCUAAAGAUCCAAAUGAAAAAAUGACUAGGGAAGAAGUAGAGAAUAUCAUAGAAAAUGUAUCAGAGGAUAUAAGAAAAUUGGGUAAUGAAUCUGGGGGAAUAACUAGAACGAUAAAUCCCACAAAACCCGAGCUGAAGCAACAGGAAGCAAUUAUAGCUAAGUCAAAUAAUUAUAAAAAAAGUUAGAGAAGUACUCAACGAUAUUCUUAAACAAGGAAAAUAUAUGGGAAAAGAAAUAAGAUACCAUAAUCGAAAACAAAGUUUUUUUUAAAGAACCAAAGGUUCUGAAUCCAUAUAAAGUUUUACCAAAUGGACAAUAUGGUAAUUUAUUGAUUGAUCUUAAUAAACUUUAUGGUCAAAACAAAUUGAUUGCUAAGGAUCAAAAAACUGGAAAAGAAGUAAUUAACACUAAAGUAGAUAAUGAUUUAAUUGAUUUGAUUAAUAAGAGAUAUAACAAUACUAAAAAACAUUCAAUACUUUCUAGGAAAAUAUUUAAAGAAUUAACAGAAAAAUCAGGAUUACCUAUCAAUAAAAGAUCUAUGAAAUUUAAAAAAGUAAUUAGGGGUCAAGGUUACGAAGUUUGUCUAUGCAAUCCAGAAGAACUGGUUAAUAACUUAGAGUUAAUUUGUGGUUCAAUUGAUUCUGGAAAUAAUAAUGAAAAACUAAAAAAUGAAGGUCUUAGCAUAAUUGAUGAACUAUUAAAAAUAAAUAAUUGUUACCAAAAGAACAUGAAAUGUUAUAUAAAAAACAUUUUUCUUAAAUAUAUAAAUGGAACAAAAAAUAGUAUUAAGUUCUGAGGCAGUUAAAAACAACACUAAAAAUACUCCAAGCGAUUUUACAGUUAGAUUCAGUCGUUCUUUACUUUUAGAUAAAAAUAAAACUUAUAUUAUUGGUUUGGAUAGUAUUAACACUAUGACUUACUCUUGGCAUAAUAUUAGUGAUGAAUAUGAUAAUAAAAGAAUUCGUUAUAAUAAUGGUAAGGAUUGGAAAGAUGUUAUUUUCCAAAAUGGUUCUUACAGUUAUACAGACAUUAAUAAUUAUAUCAGGGAAACAUUAAUAAGCAAUGGUGAUUUUGAAUUUGAUAAAUCAAACAUUGCCCCUAUAAGUUUGGAAUUUGAUUUAAGUAGUUUUAAGAUAUUAAUUUCAAUUCAUGAUAAUUUUACAUUGGAUUUAAGAAUGACAAAUUUUCAUACAUUGCUUGGAUUUGAGAAAAAAGCUUUGAGAAAUACUGAAUGGGGAACUACAACACCAAAUAUAACUAACUCUGUAGAUACAAUUUAUAUUCAUUGUGAUCUUACUGAUAAUACACUUGUUGAUGGUAAUUUUAGUGAUAUUAUCUAUGCUUUAAGUACUGCAGAUUUAGCAAGAGCUUAUCCGUUUACAAAAGAACCAAACAGAGUCGGAUAUUCUGAAAUUAAUAAAAAUGUUAUUAAUUCAAUAAGAAUAUAUAUUACAGACGUAUUUGGUAGAAUAAUUAAUUUUAACGGAGUUGAAACAAGUUUUACAUUAAUUUUAAAAGAAAUAUAAAUUAUGAAAUUAUAAAAUUUAGUUUUAUAUAAUGUACAAAAAAGUUUAUGAUAAAAAUAAAGGAAUAUUUAUUUAUGUUAAUCCUUGGAACGUAGAAGAAAUUAUACAAGGUAGACCUGCGGUCUCCGGAGAUUCCAUCUCUGGUACAGGUAUCUUAGACACUUUAACAAAAUUAAUUCAAUCUUCUGUUGCAUCCUCAAUUAGCACUGCUGGAAAAAAAGCUCUGGAAACUGCAGGAAAAGCUGCAUUUGAAAGUGGAACCCGCAGGAUUGGAACGGAAGUUGGAAAUUUAGCUGCUAAUAAAAUUACAGAGAAAAUCAAAAGUUUUAAAAAACCUGUAACACCUGCUGUUGAUAAUUUAAUUGCUAAGGAAUUACAAAAAACAAAUUAUAGUAAAAAUAAUAAUGAAGAGGAUAUUAAUAUAAGAAUAAAUAAAUUAUUGUCGGGUUCCGGAGCUUCAGCUCAGCGUAAGCGUAUUAAUAGAUUAAUUUAUAAACAAGAGGGCCAAGAUGGCCCUAGGUCGCUCACCUGAGAAACACACCAUAAUACACCAUAACAGUGUAAACAUAGACCUAGUGAUUGCAUGGAAAAAAAUAUUCUGACCAAGUAUCAUUAAAAUUGGAACAAACACAAGUAUUUCUUUUAUUUGACCUAGUGACCUAGUUUUUGACCCCAGAUGACCCAUAUUCAAACUUGACCUAGAUUUGAUCAAGGAAAUCAUUCUGACCAAAUUGACCAAUAACCAAACUCUACCUGAAUUUUAUCAAGGCAAUCAUUCUGACCAAAUUUCAUAAAGAUCAAUUGAAAAAUACAGCCUCUAUUGCAUACACAAUGUUUUUCUUUGAUUUGACCUAGUGACCUAAUUUUUGACCCAAGAUGACCCAUAUUCAAACUUGACCACGAUUUUAUCAAGGCAAUCAUUCUGACUGAAUUUCAUGAAGAUCAAUUGAAAAAUAUAGCCUCUGUCGCAUACACAAGGUUUUUCUUUGAUUUGACCUAAUGACCUACUUUUUCAACCCAGAUGACCCAUAUUCGAAGUUAACCAAGAUUUCAUCAAGGCAAUCAUUCUGACCAAAAUUCUUGAAGAUUAAUUGAAAAAUACAGCCUCUAUCGCAUACACAAGGUUUUUCUUUAAUGUGACCUAGGUUUUGAUCCCAGAUGACCCAUUUUCGAACUCGGCCUAGAUUUCAUCAAGGUUAUCAUUCUGACCAAAAUUCAUGAAGAUUACUUGAAAAAUACAGCCUCUAUCGCAUACACAAGGUUUUUCUUUGAUUUGACCUAGUUUUUGAUCACAGAUGACCCAUUUUCGAUCUCGGCCUAGAUUUCAUCAGGGUAAUCAUUCUGACCAAAAUUCAUGAAGAUUAAUUGAAAAAUACAGCCUCUAUCGCAUACACAAGGUUUUUCUUUGAUUUGACUUAGUGACCUAGUUUUUGACCCCAAAUGACCCAUUUUCGAAUUCGGCUUAGAUUUCAUCAAGGUAAUCAUUCUGACCAAAUUUCAUGAAGAUCAGUUGAAAAAUACAGCCUCUAUCGCAUACACAAGCUAAAUGUUGACGGACAGACGACAGGCAGACGCCGGACAUCGAGUGAUCAGAAAAACUCACCUGAGCAUUGCUCAAAAGAAAAUAAUAUAUAAUAUACAUGUUUAGAACAAAACAGUAUUGUGAAAGAUAUGAACUAACUCCUAUUCAAUCAGAUACACCUUUAAUUUCUAUCUUGCGAAAUAAUGUUUAAACAGCAAAAAAGUGGAUAUCAUUUUACAAUUAAUGAUAGAAGUUCAUAUUUUGAUUGGUUUAAUGGUUAUUUUGAAGUAAGUUUUAAAGUUCAUAAACUUGCUGAUAAUAAUAAUUAUGCUGAUGGAGAUCAAAUUGCUUUAAUUGAUAAUGUAGCUUCAAUAAUAGAUCAACUUAUAGUUAAACAAAAUGGAAAAAUUGUCUAUGAUUGUAAUAAUUUAUACAAGGUAAUUAACUUAAAAAAAUUAGUUGAACUAUCUAAGGAUUAUGCAGAAUCAACUGAACCAAAUGAAUUUAUUUAUUUAGAUACUUCUCUUGGUGCUGAAAGUAGGGAUGACCAAGAUGGAUAUAAUAAAGGUUUUGAAAUUAGAAAGAAAUUAAUCGAAGGUGGUAAUAGUGUCAAUGUUAAAAUUCCGUUAAAUAAUUAUUCAUUUUUUCAGGGUUUAGAACAAAACAAAUUACCUUCAAGUCAAAUCCAAAUAACAUUACAAUUAACUAAUGAUGAUAAAUUAAUUUACAGAGCUAAUGCUGCCGAUGCGGGUAGAGUAAUUGUAACUAAAUUAAUUUUGUGGGUUCCACGUUUAAUUUUCUUAAUGUUUAUCGAAUUAAUUUAAUUUCUGAAAGAUAUACAAAAGCAAGGUGGAAAUAUCUGCGUGAAAUGCUGACACAAUUUGCAGACACCCAGCAGGUUAAUAUGUCUUUUAGAAUAACAGCUGGUGUAACAAAGCCCGAACAUGUGUUUGUUUAUUUACUACGGCCUAAUAAAAGUAAUUCACAAGAGCAUAACCCACAUUUAUUAGAUACAUUUAGACUUAAUGCAGCAGAUGAUAACUGUAAGCUGGAAUCUUGUCGUCUUGAUGUUGGUAAUGGUGUUUUUUAUCCAGAAACGGAAUAUACAAGUAUAUCAAGAAUUUACGAUGAUGUUCUUAAUUAUUUUCAUAAACAAAUUAAUAAAACCACUGGAAAUCUUUUAAAUUUAUCAAAUUUUCAAAGUUUGUUCGGGUUUGUUCAUUUUAACUUAGAAUUUAAAAAGGAAUUGCAGAAGAUCCUAAACAUAUUGCAUUAACAGUUAAAUUAAAUACACUUCCCACUGCAAGGUACCGUGUUUACGCAAUUGUAUUGUACGAAGAAACAGUUGAAAUAAAUACUAUUGGAAAGGAACUUGUUAUUGUUUAAAUAAAAUAAAUUUUAAAUAUAUAAUGACAUCAAAUUAUAUUGAAUAUAAAGUAGAUUUAACAGAUGAACAGAAAUUUUUUUUAGCACAAGCUUAUAACAACAAAAUUCCACAUACUUUUAGAUUAAAAUAUGAACAGUUGCGUGGAAACUUUCCUUUACUUUUAACAAAAACACAGAUUAGGAAUAAGAAAGGAUUAGAAAUUACAAUUUCAAAAAAACAAAUGUCCAGUCAAGGUCAAAAUGGAGGGUUCUUAGGUGCUUUAGCUGGAUUAAUAGGAAAAACAAUUCUUCCAAUGGCAGCAAAAAUAGCUCCAAAAAUAUUAGGGCCGUUAGGCGUUGGUGCUUUGUCUGGGCUUGCCAGUACUGGUGUCAAUAAGUUACUUUGGAAUGGUAUGGUUUCGGUAGCUAAUAUGAUGAAAUAUGAUAACACGAUAUCUUACACCUAAUCAAAGAAAACAUUUAAGGGGAACUGGUGUAAUUACAUUAACUCUAAAAACAGAAACAAAACGGUGAGUUUUUGGGUAUGUUCACGGCUAGUCUCGGAAUACCUUUGAUUACAUCUUUGUUAAGUGGUAAGGAACAAGGUCAGGGCAUACAGAUAGAUUCACAAAGAAGACCUUACAGACGAAUUCCUAUUAUAAAAAAAAAUUAUAAUCAAACCAAUCUCUAACUUUGAAAUUGAACAAUGGGUAAAACAAUUAAAAACUUUAGGGGUGUAUUUAGUAGAAAUAAUCUACCAAAAACAAAAUGGAGAAAAACUGAAUGCGGAAUAAUCAAUUUAGAUGGUUCUGUCGGAUCUGGAACACACUGGGUAUGUUAUGUAAAUAAAAUAUACUUUGACCCAUUCGGACUUCCUCCACCAAAGGAAAUAGUCAAAUAUAUACCUGAAGUAAAGUAUAACAACAUAUAAUAUCAAGACAAAACAAGUGUAUUAUGUGGUUAUUAUUGUUUAUUUUUCAUGAAAAUGUUACAAGAUGGUAUAAACAUUUAUGAUUUAUUGUAUAAAAUACUAAAAGUUAACAAUACAAAACAAAAUGAACAAACAAUCAUAAAUUAUUUCAAUGAAAAAGGUUGAAAUCUAUUUUUAAUCAAAUUAAUGUCAAAUUGUGUUAAAAACGUUAUAUUCUAUACUACUAACAAAAUGUGACAAAAAAACGUUAUAUUCUAUACUACUGUCAAAAUGUGGUAAAAACGUUAUAUUCUAUACUACUCCAAAAACUGUCUUAUACAGUUAUUUGUUUUACUUUUUUAUGGGGAGGAUGUGUUGAUUUCUACAUCUAUAUCACUUUUGCUUCAAAGUAGAUACUCAAUUUCGUUGAUUCGUUCUUUUUUGUAGUUUCAUUUG